RNAcentral lists this transfer RNA (65 nucleotides) under Cyclocephala sp. Arg2. Its description in RNAcentral is "tRNA-Leu". The record is from RNAcentral. Lineage: Eukaryota; Metazoa; Arthropoda; Insecta; Coleoptera; Scarabaeidae.
UUACUUUGGCAGAUUAGUGCUUUAAAUUUAGAAUUUAAAUAUAUGUAUGUUUACAUAGGUAAUAU